RNAcentral lists this ribosomal RNA (440 nucleotides) under uncultured bacterium. RNAcentral's name for it is "partial 16S ribosomal RNA". It matches the Rfam family "Bacterial small subunit ribosomal RNA", at positions 338 to 795 of the family's 1533-position model. The record is from RNAcentral.
CCUACGGGAGGCAGCAGUGGGGGAUAUUGCACAAUGGGGGGAACCCUGAUGCAGCGACGCCGCGUGGGUGAAGAAGCGCCUCGGCGCGUAAAGCCCUGUCAGCAGGGAAGAAAAUGACGGUACCUGAAGAAGAAGCCCCGGCUAACUACGUGCCAGCAGCCGCGGUAAUACGGAGGGGGCAAGCGUUAUCCGGAUUUACUGGGGGGAAAGGGGGCGCAGGCGGCGAUGCAAGCCAGGAGUGAAAGCCCGGGGCCCAACCCCGGGACUGCUCUUGGAACUGCGUGGCUGGAGUGCAGGAGGGGCAGGCGGAAUUCCUGGUGUAGCGGUGAAAUGCGUAGAUAUCAGGAGGAACACCGGUGGCGAAGGCGGCCUGCUGGACUGCAACUGACGUUGAGGCCCGAAAGCGUGGGGAGCAAACAGGAUUAGAUACCCCAGUAGUC